Molecule: ribosomal RNA, 377 nt
Filed under: uncultured eukaryote
Lineage: Eukaryota
Description: SSU rRNA
Rfam family: Eukaryotic small subunit ribosomal RNA
Source: RNAcentral
AGCUCCAAAAGCGUAUAUUAAAGUUGUUGCAGUUAAAAGCUCGUAGUUGAAAUUGAGGAAAGAAAAUAAAUUGAAAUCUUUGAUUGAUAUUUAUUUUCUCCUUCUAUGUCGUGAAUAUUGUUUAAUUUCUUCAUUGAAUUUAUUCAAUAUCCGACAAUUUUACUUUGAAAAAAUUAGAGUGCUUAAAGCAGGCUUUUGCCUGUAUAUUGUUGCAUGGAAUAAUGAAAUAGGACUUCGGUUUUAUUUUGUUGGUUUUCUUAACUGAAGUAAUGAUUAAAAGAGACUGCCGGGGGCAUAUGUAUGCUGGUGUUAGAGGUGAAAUUCUUAGAUCAUCAGCAGACAAACUACUGCGAAAGCAUUUGCCAAGAAUGUUUUCA